UCCUACGGGAGGCAGCAGUGGGGAAUUUUCCGCAAUGGGCGAAAGCCUGACGGAGCAACGCCGCGUGAGGGAUGAAGGCCUCUGGGCUGUAAACCUCUUUUAUCAAGGAAGAAGAUCUGACGGUACUUGAUGAAUAAGCCACGGCUAAUUCCGUGCCAGCAGCCGCGGUAAUACGGGAGUGGCAAGCGUUAUCCGGAAUUAUUGGGCGUAAAGCGUCCGCAGGCGGUCUUUUAAGUCUGCUGUUAAAGCGUGGAGCUUAACUCCAUUUCGGCAGUGGAAACUGGAAGACUAGAGUGUGGUAGGGGCAGAGGGAAUUCCCGGUGUAGCGGUGAAAUGCGUAGAUAUCGGGAAGAACACCAGUGGCGAAGGCGCUCUGCUGGGCCAUAACUGACGCUCAUGGACGAAAGCCAGGGGAGCGAAAGGGAUUAGAUACCCCUGUAGUCCUGGCCGUAAACGAUGAACACUAGGUGUCGGGGGAAUCGACCCCCUCGGUGUCGUAGCCAACGCGUUAAGUGUUCCGCCUGGGGAGUACGCACGCAAGUGUGAAACUCAAAUGAAUUGACGG
RNAcentral lists this ribosomal RNA (565 nucleotides) under uncultured bacterium. RNAcentral describes it as "bacterial SSU rRNA". It matches the Rfam family "Bacterial small subunit ribosomal RNA", at positions 337 to 916 of the family's 1533-position model. The record is from RNAcentral.